CCUACGGAGAGCUGCAGUAACGAAUCUUCCGCAAUGCGCGAAAGCGUGACGGAGCGACGCCGCGUGUGGGACGAAGCCCUUCGGGGUGUAAACCACUGUCAGGGGAUACAUGAUCCCCAGAGGAAGGCACGGCUAACUCUGUGCCAGCAGCCGCGGUAAGACAGAGGUGCCAAGCGUUAGGCGGAAUCACUGGGCUUAAAGCGUGUGUAGGCGGAUGCCUAAGUACCUUGUGAAAUCCCACGGCUCAACCGUGGAACUGCUGGGUAUACUGGGCGUCUUGAGCAGGUUAGGGGCUACCGGAACAAGUGGUGGAGCGGUGAAAUGCGUAGAUAUCACUUGGAACGCCAAUGGUGAAAACAGGUGGCUGGACUUGCUGACGCUGAGACACGAAAGCCAGGGGAGCAAACGGGAUUAGAUACCCUAGUAGUC
RNAcentral lists this ribosomal RNA (429 nucleotides) under uncultured bacterium. RNAcentral's name for it is "partial 16S ribosomal RNA". It matches the Rfam family "Bacterial small subunit ribosomal RNA", at positions 338 to 795 of the family's 1533-position model. The record is from RNAcentral.